AACACCGGUUCUCGUCCGAUCACCGAUGUUAAGCAACGUUGAGUCUCCUCAGUACCUAGAUGGGUGACCACUUGAGAAUAUCAGGUGCUGA
Non-coding RNA from Acanthosepion pharaonis, 91 nucleotides. The record is from the annotation of a GenBank genome assembly. Lineage: Eukaryota; Metazoa; Mollusca; Cephalopoda; Sepiida; Sepiidae.